Molecule: ribosomal RNA, 501 nt
Filed under: uncultured bacterium
Lineage: Bacteria
Description: partial 16S ribosomal RNA
Rfam family: Bacterial small subunit ribosomal RNA
Source: RNAcentral
AUUGAACGCUGGCGGCAGGCUUAACACAUGCAAGUCGAGCGGAGCGAGAGUGCUUGCACCUUAGCUUAGCGGCGGACGGGUGAGUAAUGCUUAGGAAUCUGCCUAUUAGUGGGGGACAACAUUCCGAAAGGAAUGCUAAUACCGCAUACGCCCUACGGGGGGAAGCAGGGGAUCUUCGGACCUUGCGCUAAUAGAUGAGCCUAAGUCGGAUUAGCUAGUUGGUGGGGUAAAGGCCUACCAAGGCGACGAUCUGUAGCGGGUCUGAGAGGAUGAGCCGCCACACUGGGACUGAGACACGGACCAGACUCCUACGGGAGGCAGCAGUGGGGAAUAUUGGACAAUGGGCGGAAGCCUGAUCCAGCCAUGCCGCGUGUGUGAAGAAGGCCUUUUGGUUGUAAAGCACUUUAAGCGAGGAGGAGGCUACUUAGAUUAAUACUCUGGGAUAGUGGACGUUACUCGCAGAAUAAGCACCGGCUAACUCUGUGCCAGCCGCCGCGGUAA